GAACAUCGCCGUCCCGUGGCCUCUGUCCGAACCGACCCUGACGUACUUCCCCGACGCCAGGUUCGCCGUCUCGGACAGAGACCACGGGACGGGGAUGGUCCGGA
Mycobacterium sp. is the source of this 104-nucleotide regulatory RNA element. It matches the Rfam family "mraW RNA". NCBI's taxonomy places the organism in Bacteria, Bacillati, Actinomycetota, Actinomycetes, Mycobacteriales, Mycobacteriaceae. The record is from Rfam.